GAUGAAGAACGUAGCGAAAUGCGAUACGUAAUGUGAAUUGCAGAAUUCAGUGAAUCAUCGAGUCUUUGAACGCACAUUGCGCCCUCUGGUAUUCCGGGGGGCAUGCCUGUCCGAGCGUCAUUGCUGCCCUCAAGCACGGCUUGUGUGUUGGGCCCCCGUCCCGGUUCUUUAAGCCGGGACGGGCCCGAAAGGCAGCGGCGGCACCGUGUCCGGUCCUCGAGUGUAUGGGGCUCUGUCACCCACUCGUGUAGGUCCGGCCGGCGGCCAGCCACUUCAACCAAACUUUUAACCAGGUUGACCUCGGAUCAGGUAGGGAUACCCGCUGAACUUAAGCAUAUCAAUAAGCGGAGGA
This 352-nucleotide unclassified non-coding RNA is filed under the name soil metagenome. RNAcentral's name for it is "partial contains 5.8S ribosomal RNA, internal transcribed spacer 2, and large subunit ribosomal RNA". The stretch from base 1 to 120 matches the Rfam family "5.8S ribosomal RNA", at positions 35 to 154 of the family's 154-position model. The record is from RNAcentral.